Molecule: ribosomal RNA, 253 nt
Filed under: uncultured bacterium
Lineage: Bacteria
Description: partial 16S ribosomal RNA
Rfam family: Bacterial small subunit ribosomal RNA
Source: RNAcentral
UACGUAGGGUGCGAGCGUUAAUCGGAAUUACUGGGCGUAAAGCGUGCGCAGGCGGUUUUGUAAGCCAGAUGUGAAAUCCCCGGGCUUAACCUGGGAAUGGCAUUUGGGACUGCAAGGCUCGAGUGCGGCAGUGGAGACUGGAAUUCCUGGUGUAGCAGUGAAAUGCGUAGAUAUCAGGAGGAACACCGAUGGCGAAGGCAGCUUCCUGGCCCAAUUCUGACGCUGAGGUGCGAAAGCGUGGGUAGCGAACGGG